GAUGAACGCUGGCGGCGUGCCUAAUACAUGCAAGUCGAGCGAACAGACGAGGAGCUUGCUCCUCUGACGUUAGCGGCGGACGGGUGAGUAACACGUGGAUAACCUACCUAUAAGACUGGGAUAACUUCGGGAAACCGGAGCUAAUACCGGAUAAUAUAUUGAACCGCAUGGUUCAAUAGUGAAAGACGGUUUUGCUGUCACUUAUAGAUGGAUCCGCGCCGCAUUAGCUAGUUGGUCAGGUAACGGCUUACCAAGGCGACGAUGCGUAGCCGACCUGAGAGGGUGAUCGGCCACACUGGAACUGAGACACGGUCCAGACUCCUACGGGAGGCAGCAGUAGGGAAUCUUCCGCAAUGGGCGAAAGCCUGACGGAGCAACGCCGCGUGAGUGAUGAAGGUCUUCGGAUCGUAAAACUCUGUUAUUAGGGAAGAACAAAUGUGUAAGUAACUAUGCACGUCUUGACGGUACCUAAUCAGAAAGCCACGGCUAACUACGUG
This 497-nucleotide ribosomal RNA is filed under the name uncultured bacterium. Its description in RNAcentral is "partial 16S ribosomal RNA". It matches the Rfam family "Bacterial small subunit ribosomal RNA", at positions 28 to 507 of the family's 1533-position model. The record is from RNAcentral.